CUUUCUUUAAAAUUUGUUCCAUAAUUUUUUUUUGUUUUACCUUAUUGCAACUUACAAUAAUAUAUAUAGUAAUUGGCACCACAUAUUAAUUUAUUACUGUAAUUUUUUUCUGCUUUUUGAUUAAAUAUCAAAUACUUAUUAUAGAUUGCCCAAUGAUUAUGCCCAAAGGGAACAAUGGGUUUCAUUAAUGGAAAUCAACACAUUUAAAAAGAACAUAUUUGUUUGUUCAGAUCACAUCCUUAGAAGUGAUAUAAGGGAGAUAAUAUUAUCAGUAGCCAGACUUUAUUAAAAAAAUCAGCUCUACCUCAAAGGAUUUCUGAUGCACUGGUUAAAAACACAGCAGCCAAUAAUUUAGUUAAUUUACCAAGUGAUUUACCCUUCAAAGCUACAGGGGUAGCUUUCCUGAAGAGUGCAAAAACUUCUUUAGCUUUCAAAAUGGUAUAUAGUACAAACAGUGAAGCUAAUAUAGACACGUAUGGAUAAUUAAAAUAGAUUAAUAUUCUUGAUACACCAAAUUUUGUAUAAUUACAGAUCUGAUCAUUCAUCAUCAGCAAUAACUGCAUCUGAGAAUUAUAGUUCUACAGUAACCGUGGAGUCUAGGUCAACAAUUACUAUUUCUCAUCCAAGCCGUUUUUGUUUAACUGCUACACAUUCCCUGACUCUGCCAAGGAAAAGGGUAAAAUCAAAAUGAUAUCCUGAGGACCUAAGCACUGAUGAUUCCACCGUUUCAAGAGCUUAAUCACUUGUCACCAGAUUAUGGAAAAAAAAUAAAGUACAAAAAAUUAAAAUUCGAAGAUUGCAACAAGCAAAUUUGCGCCAAAGAAAUUAAAUUAGAUGUCUCAAGUCAUUAUUAAAAUACUUACAUGAAAUAAUAACAUGAUUUUAUGGAAAAGCCCAACAUACUACAUAUUUUAUUUGACUUGUAAAAGCACUUGUUUGUAUAUUACUACUAAUAAACUCUCUAAUCUAAUCUAUUGUACAUAGUCUUUAUUCUUAGCUUUGUUUUUUAGUAUAAAUUAAUAUGAUAUAAUAUUUGGUAUUAGGUAUUAUAUAGGUCACUAUUAAAUGUCUCAAAACCAUUAUACAGGCUAAAUACUCAUAAUAAAAAUCUUAUAACCUACAAAAAACCUGCAACUCCUUCACUAUUUGAACAUCCUUGUAGUUUUAACUUUUUCCGCUGAAGCAAUACUGUCCCUUUGAAAAAGUCAGCAGCAUAGAAGUAUAUAUUAUGUGAUGUAAGUAAGUGAUGUAAAACUGAGUUUUGUCCAAUAUAACAAUAACAAUAAAAUUUUGCAAAAUGU
Anthonomus grandis grandis is the source of this 1301-nucleotide long non-coding RNA. RefSeq lists it as uncharacterized. The transcript has 3 exons. The record is from RefSeq and is a predicted model, not a curated record. Lineage: Eukaryota; Metazoa; Arthropoda; Insecta; Coleoptera; Curculionidae.